This 253-nucleotide ribosomal RNA is filed under the name uncultured bacterium. RNAcentral's name for it is "partial 16S ribosomal RNA". It matches the Rfam family "Bacterial small subunit ribosomal RNA", at positions 524 to 776 of the family's 1533-position model. The record is from RNAcentral.
UACGGAGGGUGCGAGCGUUAUCCGGAAUUACUGGGUUUAAAGGGUGCGUAGGCGGCUGUGUAAGUCAGGAGUGAAAGUUUGCGGCUCAACCGUAAAAUUGCUUUUGAUACUGCACGGCUAGAAUCAGGAUGAGGUUAGCGGAAUGUGGCAUGUAGCGGUGAAAUGCAUAGAUAUGCCAUAGAACACCAAUUGCGAAGGCAGCUGGCUAGACCUGGAUUGACGCUGAGGCACGAAAGCGUGGGGAGCGAACAGG